This 3015-nucleotide long non-coding RNA is filed under the name Cricetulus griseus (Chinese hamster). RNAcentral's name for it is "lncRNA (ENSCGRG00015029815.1)". The record is from RNAcentral. Lineage: Eukaryota; Metazoa; Chordata; Mammalia; Rodentia; Cricetidae.
UUUCAGGGUUAGAGAGAUGGCUCAGUGGUUAAGAGCACUAACUAUUCUUACAGAGGACCCAGGUUUAAUUCCCAGCACCCACGUGAUGGCUCAGUGGUUAAGAGCACUAACUAUUCUUACAGAGGACCCAGGUUUAAUUUCCAGCACCCACGUGGCUAUUCACAAUUGUCUGUAACUCCAGCUUUGGGGAAUCUUAUACCAUUAUUCAGACAUACAUAGAGGCAAAACACCAAUGCACAUGAAAAAUAAAAAUAAACACUACUAAUAAAGUAUCUUUCCAAAUUACUAAAGUAAUGCCUGGAUUAAUACAUCCCUUCUCCAGAUCAAGGGAGUUGAUACCUUUAGAGGUAUUCCAAAAAUGUUAUGGCCAUUCAGUAAGAUCAGUUACUCAGGAUCUGUUUAUAAUUAUUGAUAAGCAUUGAAAAGGGAAGUGUUAUACUAUAUAAGCAAUUUGAUAAUUGACAAAAAUUUCAGAAAGUGACACCUACAUCCUCUUAGUCCCAUCAUUAUAGACUCCAAGUUUACAAAAUCUCAACUGAGUGCCCAUGCACACAUACACAUACACUGAGCUUAUACUAUGAAAAGCCUUACAAUGACUUAUAUUGGCAUUCAGUAUCUCUCUAAUUGGUAAUUAUUUGCAUUCUUGAAAAAAAAUCACUGUGAACUUUAAAGUUAACUCUAAAAUAUUUUUCAUAUAAAAAACUAGUAAUAUAUCUAAGUGUACUGUCUGAGUAAAAUUGUAACAAAUGACACACUUUCCCUGAAUCCUAAAAAUAAGAUAUAUUAGAAAAGUGGAAAGGAAGAUGUGCAAGAUUCUAUUCCUGGAUUGUGAUUAUUUCCAGUGAGCAUUUGUAAAUAUAAUGAAGAUAUCAAAAGCUAUUUCUGAUCCCAGAGAUAUUUUUGCCUUUCUGUUUUAUUUAUCCCUGCCCUUGUGAACACAAGUGAAUUUUAAUUUUAAAAUGUUUGAAGUUCUGUACCUUCUAUAAGUUAACAGAAUCUAGAUUUGAAAAAAGAGAAACUAAAUUAUCUUCAUUUCUGCUAGUUUCACUUUACUGUAUAUGUGGAUUAUUUAAAGUAAUGGGUUAACAGAAAUGAGUGGAUUACCAUCCUGACUACCUGUAAGUGGUAAAUUAUAUUAGUAAAAACCAUUGGAUUGAAACUUGUGUCUGAGUGACUGCUUAGGCUUUAUUUGAAGUGUAAAUUUGAAUCCCAUUAUGACUGAAUUAGAUUUUAAACUAGAUAAUGAAUGAAUACUAAUAAACAGUUCUUGUUGCACUGUUCUGAAUACAGACUAUAUAUUUGGUACUGUUGGCCAAAUAGCUUUUGUAAUUUAUUUGAGUUAUAAUUUCAUAUUAGAAACUUAAUAAUGAAGAAUUCUCCAAAGGAAUAAGAUGUAUGCAGUUGUAUUUAAAAAGAACUGCAGCAGGAGUGUUACAGUCUGUUUCUAAACUAUCCAUUUCCAUCAUUGGCUAAUUGAUGGAUCUUUCAGGAAUCCAGAAUAAUGUCUGCAUGAAAUAAAUUACAGUUACAUAAGAGCCUUAAACUGGACAAAAGGACUCUUUUGACUGCCUUAAAAUGUGACUAGCUCUCCUUUCCAGACAUGCUAGUUUCUUUAGGGUCUGUUAUUUAAGUAAUGCCUUACUAGUGUCCUAAUGCUUCUAAAGAGUAGAACUUACAGGGUCUUCUAGAGCUUUUAAUUUUACAUAAUGAAUGGAAAUUUAACUGUUAGGUAUUAAACCUGUUUGUACAUUAGUAAUUUAAACAUGAAAGGAAUAAUCCGCCUAUGCUGAUGUGUGAUAAAUACAUGACUGCAACAUUAGUAUAUUUGUGGUUAAGGUUUUUUUGGUUGUUUUGUAUAACCAGUUAUACAGAAACAGGACUUCAUGACCAUAACAUGACCUCGAAGGACCAUGUUGCAUAUUUAACACUGAAUGAAAAGUAGUUGUAUAAAAGUACAGUUGUAUAGUUCCAAACGAACUGCUUUUUAAGGGAAAUUUUUGGGGCAAAAGACAAAUAUUUUGGUUCAAGCCUAUGAGCAAACUCAUUUAGAGGAAUGAAUAUAAUAUUAAAUCAUUGACUCUUGCAAUAAAAAUAUCAGUCCAGUGACUUGUUUCAUUGAGUUCACAUUUUGUGUUCACUUUGCCUUUAAAAGCAGGGAUAUCUUAAUGAAACUGAAAGAGUGCUUUAAAUUGCCAUGCUGGUGCUUAAAGAUAUAUUAAGCUUGAUUUAUAACUAGCUUAUAUUCCAAGGAAAGGAGCCUGGAGAGGGCAAACAGGCCUUUCUUAGGACUUGUGAUUAACUGAAGCUGUCAUGUCUUCCAAGUUUGCAAUGUAAAUAAUGUGUAACAAUGUAAUGUUGCUGUUUUCUAAUGAGGAAUGGACAAAUGCUUCUUUUUAUUACAUUUAUUUCACGAUAAAAGUUUUCACCAGUACUUGACUUUUCAAACCGAGCAAAAUAACCUAUUGCAUACAAGUUGAUUAUCUCUUACAUGAGAUGCUUGGGGCCACAAGUAUUUCAAGAUUCUUUUUUCAAAUAUUGGAAUUAUUUGCAUAUGUAUACUUUAAUACCUGGGACAUUCUGUGUGAACCUCAUAUAUGUUAUAUGAAAACAAAUUUGUCUUAAUGAAAUUGCAUUUGACUGUGACUUGUCAAUUGGUAUGAUAUGGAACUCUCCAUGUGGCAUUAUGUUAGCACUCUCAAGUUUUCGAUUCUGAAGCUUUUUAAAACUUUGGAUUUUCACAUUAAGGAUGUUUAAAUAAGUCAUUUCAGGUGUGGAGUGAGUGGGCACUACAUGAAUUGUUUGUCACUGGUUUAUUGUAGAAUUUGAUAGGUGUACCAAAUAAAUUUUAUGCAUAUCAAAUAACUUCUUUCACCUCUUAACAUCUGUUGAUAAGUAGAGUCCUGGUUUGCAAAUUAAUUCCUUUUGAUGUAAUGCUAGACCCCAAGAUGUAAUCUUUUUUUUUAAGUCAUUGAGAAUAAAAUUCAUUACACUUGUUAGGUAAGCACUGGAAGAGUG